Molecule: ribosomal RNA, 309 nt
Filed under: uncultured eukaryote
Lineage: Eukaryota
Description: partial 18S ribosomal RNA
Rfam family: Eukaryotic small subunit ribosomal RNA
Source: RNAcentral
CCCUUAGAUGUUCUGGGCGGCCCGCGCACUACAAUGGCGUGUGCAGCGAGUGCCGAAGUAGAGUUUUCCGAGGUAUUCUUGCAAUGCUCGUUUUGAUGGGGAUAGACCCUUGCAACUGUUGGUUUUGAACGAGGAAUUCCUUGUAAGCAUGGUUUAUCAUCCGACGCUGAAUGCGUCCCUGCCCUUUGUACACACCGCCCGUCGCUCCUACCGAUGAGUCGUCCGGUGAAGUUCGUAGACCUCGUGAUCGCGGAUCACUGGGGGAAGCAAAAUGAACCUCGCGGGUUAGAGGAAGGAGAAGUCGUAACA